UUGAGCUUGAUCCCUGGCUCAGGAUGAACGCUGGCGGCGUGCCUAAUACAUGCAAGUCGAGCGAAUGGAUUAAGAGCUUGCUCUUAUGAAGUUAGCGGCGGACGGGUGAGUAACACGUGGGUAACCUACCCAUAAGACUGGGAUAACUCCGGGAAACCGGGGCUAAUACCGGAUAAUAUUUUGAACUGCAUAGUUCGAAAUUGAAAGGCGGCUUCGGCUGUCACUUAUGGAUGGACCCGCGUCGCAUUAGCUAGUUGGUGAGGUAACGGCUCACCAAGGCAACGAUGCGUAGCCGACCUGAGAGGGUGAUCGGCCACACUGGGACUGAGACACGGCCCAGACUCCUACGGGAGGCAGCAGUAGGGAAUCUUCCGCAAUGGACGAAAGUCUGACGGAGCAACGCCGCGUGAGUGAUGAAGGCUUUCGGGUCGUAAAACUCUGUUGUUAGGGAAGAACAAGUGCUAGUUGAAUAAGCUGGCACCUUGACGGACCUAACCAGAAAGCCACG
RNAcentral lists this ribosomal RNA (508 nucleotides) under Bacillaceae bacterium BF.60. Its description in RNAcentral is "bacterial SSU rRNA". It matches the Rfam family "Bacterial small subunit ribosomal RNA", at positions 1 to 495 of the family's 1533-position model. The record is from RNAcentral. Lineage: Bacteria; Bacillati; Bacillota; Bacilli; Caryophanales; Bacillaceae.